UACGGAGGGGGCAAGCGUUGUUCGGAAUGACUGGGCGUAAAGGGUGCGUAGGCGGCGAGUUAAGUCAGCGGUAAAAGCCCGGGGCUCAACCCCGGCCCGCCGUUGAAACUGGCUGGCUUGAGUUGGGGAAAGGCAGGCGGAAUGCGUGGUGUAGCGGUGAAAUGCAUAGAUAUCACGCAGAACCCCGAUUGCGAAGGCAGCAUACCGGUGCACAACUGACGCUCAGGCACGAAAGCGUGGGGAGCAAACAGG
RNAcentral lists this ribosomal RNA (252 nucleotides) under uncultured Bacteroidales bacterium. RNAcentral's name for it is "partial 16S ribosomal RNA". It matches the Rfam family "Bacterial small subunit ribosomal RNA", at positions 524 to 776 of the family's 1533-position model. Lineage: Bacteria; Pseudomonadati; Bacteroidota; Bacteroidia; Bacteroidales. The record is from RNAcentral.